AGUGGCGAACGGGUGAGUAAAGUAUCGGAACGUGCCCAGUCGUGGGGGAUAACGUAGCGAAAGUUACGCUAAUACCGCAUACGAUCUAUGGAUGAAAGCGGGGGAUCGCAAGACCUCGCGCGAUUGGAGCGGCCGAUAUCAAAUUAGGUAGUUGGUGGGGUAAAGGCUCACCAAGCCAACGAUCUGUAGCUGGUCUGAAAGGACCACCACCCACACUGGGACUGAGACACGGCCCACACUCCUACGGGAGGCAGCAGUGGGGAAUUUUGGACAAUGGGCGCAAGCCUGAUCCAGCCAUGUCGCGUGCAGGAUGAAGGCCUUCGGGUUGUAAACUGCUUUUGUACGGAACGAAAAGGUUUGGCCUAAUAAGCUGAGCUCAUGACGGUACCGUAAGAAUAAGCACCGGCUAACUACGUGCCAGCAGCCGCGGUAAUACGUAGGGUGCGAGCGUUAAUCGGAAUUACUGGGCGUAAAGCGUGCGCAGGCGGUUAUGUAAGACAGAUGUGAAAUCCCCGGGCUCAACCUGGGAACUGCAUUAGUGACUGCAUAGCUGGAGUACGGCAGAAGGGGGGAUGGAAUUUCCGCGUGUAGCAGUGAAAUGCGUAGAUAUGCGGGAGGAACACCGACGGCGAAGGCCAUCCCCCUGUGUCUGUACUGACGCUCAUGCACGAAAGCGUGGA
This 680-nucleotide ribosomal RNA is filed under the name uncultured Curvibacter sp. RNAcentral's name for it is "bacterial SSU rRNA". It matches the Rfam family "Bacterial small subunit ribosomal RNA", at positions 94 to 765 of the family's 1533-position model. Lineage: Bacteria; Pseudomonadati; Pseudomonadota; Betaproteobacteria; Burkholderiales; Comamonadaceae. The record is from RNAcentral.